This 253-nucleotide ribosomal RNA is filed under the name uncultured bacterium. RNAcentral's name for it is "partial 16S ribosomal RNA". It matches the Rfam family "Bacterial small subunit ribosomal RNA", at positions 524 to 776 of the family's 1533-position model. The record is from RNAcentral.
UACGUAGGGUGCAAGCAUUAAUCGGAUUUAUUGGGCGUAAAGGGCGCGUAGGCGGGGGUGCCAGUCAAUUGUGAAAUCCCGGGGCUCAACCUCGGAACUGCAGUUGAAACUACAUCCCUAGAGGGUAGGCGGAGAAAACGGAAUUCCACAAGUAGCGGUGAAAUGCGUAGAUAUGUGGAAGAACACCAGUGGCGAAGGCGGUUUUCUAGCUUAUACCUGACGCUGAGGCGCGAAAGCUAGGGGAGCGAACAGG